RNAcentral lists this ribosomal RNA (254 nucleotides) under uncultured bacterium. Its description in RNAcentral is "partial 16S ribosomal RNA". It matches the Rfam family "Bacterial small subunit ribosomal RNA", at positions 524 to 776 of the family's 1533-position model. The record is from RNAcentral.
UACGUAGGGUGCGAGCGUUGUCCGGAAUUAUUGGGCGUAAAGAGCUCGUAGGCGGUCUGUCGCGUCGAUCGUGAAAACUUGGGGCUUAACCCUGAGCUUGCGGUCGAUACGGGCAUGACUGGAGUUCGGCAGGGGAGACUGGAAUUCCUGGUGUAGCGGUGGAAUGCGCAGAUAUCAGGAGGAACACCGGUGGCGAAGGCGGGUCUCUGGGCAGUAACUGACGCUGAGGAGCGAAAGCGUGGGGAGCAAACAGG